UACGUAGGUGGCAAGCGUUGUCCGGAUUCAUUGGGUUUAAAGGGUGCGUAGGCGGACUAUUAAGUCAGUGGUGAAAGCCUGCAGCUUAACUGCAGAACUGCCAUUGAUACUGAUAGUCUUGAGUUUGGUUAAGGUAGGCGGAAUGUGUAGUGUAGCGGUGAAAUGCAUAGAUAUUACACAGAACACCGAUUGCGAAGGCAGCUUACUAAUCCAUCAUUGACGCUGAGGCACGAAAGCGUGGGGAUCAAACA
This 251-nucleotide ribosomal RNA is filed under the name uncultured prokaryote. RNAcentral describes it as "partial 16S ribosomal RNA". It matches the Rfam family "Bacterial small subunit ribosomal RNA", at positions 524 to 774 of the family's 1533-position model. The record is from RNAcentral.